AUACUCACUCUAGUAACACCUAUACUAAAAUUAGAAUUAUACAGAGAAGAUUAGCAUGGCCCCUGCACAAGGAUGACAUGCAAAUUCAUGGAGUGUUCCAUAUUUUU
This is a small nuclear RNA of Octodon degus (degu), 107 nucleotides long. NCBI's taxonomy places the organism in Eukaryota, Metazoa, Chordata, Mammalia, Rodentia, Octodontidae. The record is from Ensembl.